UACAGAGGUCUCAAGCGUUGUUCGGAUUCAUUGGGCGUAAAGGGUGUGUAGGUGGCGCUGUAAGUCGGGUGUGAAAUCUCGGAGCUUAACUCCGAAACUGCAUUCGAUACUGCCGUGCUUGAGGACUGGAGAGGAGACUGGAAUUUACGGUGUAGCGGUGAAAUGCGUAGAUAUCGUAAGGAAGACCAGUGGCGAAGGCGGGGUCUCUGGACAGUUCCUGACGCUGAGGCACGAAGGCCAGGGGAGCAAACGGG
Molecule: ribosomal RNA, 254 nt
Filed under: uncultured bacterium
Lineage: Bacteria
Description: partial 16S ribosomal RNA
Rfam family: Bacterial small subunit ribosomal RNA
Source: RNAcentral